GGGUCGGUUCGGCCGGAUUUCACACAGGUGUUGCAUGGCUGUCGUCAGCUCGUGUCGUGAGAUGUUGGGUUAAGUCCCGCAACGAGCGCAACCCUCAUCCUUAGUUACCAUCAGAUAAUGCUGGGGACUUUAAGGAAACUGCUAGUGAUAAACUGGAGGAAGGUGGGGAUGAUGUCAAGUCAUCAUGGCCCUUAUGGAGUGGGCUACACACGUGCUACAAUGGUGGCUACAAUGGGCUGCAAAGUCGCGAGACUAAGCCAAUCCCUUAAAAGCCAUCUCAGUUCGGAUUGUACUCUGCAACUCGAGUACAUGAAGUUGGAAUCGCUAGUAAUCGUGGAUCAGCAUGCCACGGUGAAUACGUUCUCGGGUCUUGUACACACUGCCCGUCACGCCAUGG
This 397-nucleotide ribosomal RNA is filed under the name Wolbachia endosymbiont of Caloptilia alchimiella. RNAcentral describes it as "bacterial SSU rRNA". It matches the Rfam family "Bacterial small subunit ribosomal RNA", at positions 1012 to 1407 of the family's 1533-position model. RNAcentral also lists the same sequence under 2 other names. The record is from RNAcentral. Lineage: Bacteria; Pseudomonadati; Pseudomonadota; Alphaproteobacteria; Rickettsiales; Anaplasmataceae.